RNAcentral lists this ribosomal RNA (428 nucleotides) under uncultured bacterium. RNAcentral's name for it is "partial 16S ribosomal RNA". It matches the Rfam family "Bacterial small subunit ribosomal RNA", at positions 354 to 796 of the family's 1533-position model. The record is from RNAcentral.
GUGGGGAAUAUUGGGCAAUGGGCGAAAGCCUGACCCAGCAACGCCGCGUGAAGGAAGAAGGCCUUCGGGUUGUAAACUUCUUUUAUGAGGGACGAAGGACGUGACGGUACCUCAUGAAUAAGCCACGGCUAACUACGUGCCAGCAGCCGCGGUAAUACGUAGGUGGCAAGCGUUGUCCGGAUUUACUGGGUGUAAAGGGCGCGUAGGCGGACUGGCAAGUCAGAUGUGAAAUCCAUGGGCUCAACUCAUGAACUGCAUUUGAAACUGUUGGUCUUGAGUGUCGGAGAGGAGAGCGGAAUUCCUAGUGUAGCGGUGAAAUGCGUAGAUAUUAGGAGGAACACCAGUGGCGAAGGCGGCUUGCUGGACGAUAACUGACGCUGAGGCGCGAAAGCGUGGGGAGCAAACAGGAUUAGAAACCCCAGUAGUCC